RNAcentral lists this ribosomal RNA (253 nucleotides) under uncultured bacterium. RNAcentral describes it as "partial 16S ribosomal RNA". It matches the Rfam family "Bacterial small subunit ribosomal RNA", at positions 524 to 776 of the family's 1533-position model. The record is from RNAcentral.
UACGUAGGGUGCAAGCGUUGUUCGGAAUUACUGGGCGUAAAGGGCUCGUAGGUGGCCAACUAAGUCGGACGUGAAAUCCCUCAGCUUAACUGGGGAACUGCGUCCGAUACUGGAUGGCUCGAGUUUGGGAGAGGGAUGCGGAAUUCCAGGUGUAGCGGUGAAAUGCGUAGAUAUCUGGAGGAACACCGGUGGCGAAGGCGGCAUCCUGGACCAACACUGACACUGAGGAGCGAAAGCCAGGGGAGCAAACGGG